UACGGGGGGAGCAAGCGUUGUUCGGAUUUACUGGGCGUAAAGGGCGCGUAGGCGGCCACCGCAAGUCGGUUGUGAAAUCUCUGGGCUUAACCCAGAAAGGUCAACCGAUACUGCGGGGCUAGAGUGCAGAAGGGGCAACUGGAAUUCUCGGUGUAGCGGUGAAAUGCGUAGAUAUCGAGAGGAACACCUGCGGCGAAGGCGGGUUGCUGGGCUGACACUGACGCUGAAGCGCGAAAGCGUGGGGAGCGAACAGG
RNAcentral lists this ribosomal RNA (254 nucleotides) under uncultured bacterium. Its description in RNAcentral is "partial 16S ribosomal RNA". It matches the Rfam family "Bacterial small subunit ribosomal RNA", at positions 524 to 776 of the family's 1533-position model. The record is from RNAcentral.